Molecule: long non-coding RNA, 1343 nt
Organism: Triticum dicoccoides
Lineage: Eukaryota; Viridiplantae; Streptophyta; Magnoliopsida; Poales; Poaceae
Exons: 2
Source: RefSeq, a predicted model, not a curated record
UGAACCGGUAACAAAAAUAAAAAAAGCCCACCGCACCGCUUCCACGAUCCCCUCCCCCUGAUCCUCUCAUCUAUCGUCUCCUCCCAACCGGAUCGCGCCGCCGCCACCGCCUACCUCCCCGGAUCGCGCCGCCACCCCCGCCUACCUUCCCGGAUCGUGCCGCCUCCGGCGCCUACCUUCCCAGAUCGCGCCGCCUCCGCCGCCUACCUUCCCGUAUCGCGUCGCCACCACUGCUUGCUUCUCCAGAUCCACUGGCCGACGAUAUUGACGACGCCCAACCACGAGCCCUGUUCCUCCCCGGAUCCAUUCUCGCUGGACGCCACAAUCUGAGCCAUCACUGUGCCGCCGCCUGGUCUCCUCAGCCAUGGAAUGCAGGCCUCCAGCAAGGUGCCCGUGCCGCCAACCCACGGCGGUGUCUCCCGCCCUUCGCCUCCUCCGGCUCCGCAGCCACCGCACAUCCUCAUCCCUGGUUGGGCUCCACCACCGCGGUGCCUAGGCCGUUCAAUGACGCAGCCCCGACCGCAUCAUCUUGAAGGAAGGCCAAUGAAAGACAGGGGAACCGAUGCACUGGCAAGCUAGCACACCUGUGCAGCUGACGGUUUGGUGGGCGGCAGCCAAAUAUCUUGGCAUGUGGCUACUGGUUUGGCGGGCAGGCAAGUAGCAACAAGCACAUCAGCUGCAGGCAAAGCUGCUAGCAGAAAAGAACUGAACCUUCAAGCUUUAGCCAAAUUUCCAUCGAUUUAUUCUCCAUGGAUAGUGCAACACUAUUUUGACUGAAACUGGCGAUUUGAUGUCUGCUUAACUGAACCUUUAUGGUUUGUUUUGUUGAUAAUUACAGGAGUAGAUAGACUGAUGCUAGUGGCUGCCGCUAGACAUCUCUAUUUUUUGCUAUUGCAUGCGACCCAGCUGCUUCUGCUUCCUCUCUUCCCGCCGCUCAAUGUUGCUGCCGGUCGCUGCUAGCUGCUGUUGUCAGACAUUUCUAGCUGUUGUUGUGCCGUGUGGCUGCCCGACGCCACUGCCAUUUUCUGGCUGCUAUUGGUACGCUGUUGCUGCAGUUCAACAUGACAAAAGAGAUAUUUCUGUUAGAGAUUAGCACUGCUGCUGUCCGUGCUUAAAGAAAUGAGAAUAGAGAGAGAGAGAGUGUGUGUGUGGAUAGGAUAUAGCGGUGGGUUGUGGAUAAAAACCAUCGAUUAUAGUGAAAAAGUAUUUCUUUCUCUGGCACUUAGUGCGCGUGUCUUCCUCUGAAUUGUCGUUAAUGUGUUCUCUGUACAAAGCAUAAACUAUGCUUGCUUGUUUCAUGUCAUAUUCAAUUGGCAAUAUGAAAAUAAAGGAUCAGUUUUUCA